UCGAUUCUGGCUCGGAUUGAAACGCUGCGGAUGCUUUACACAUGCAAGUCGAACGGCAGCACGCACUUCUGGUCUGGUGGCGAGUGGCGAACGGUGAGUAAUGCAUCGGAACGUGCCUAGCGGGGAUAACUACGCGAAAGCGUAGCUUUGCAUUACCGCAUACCGCCCUUCGGGGGAAAGCGGGGACCUCGGGCCCCCGCACUAUUAGAGCGGCUGAUAUCGGAUUAGCUAGUUGGUGGGGUAACGGCUCACCAAGGCGACGAUCCGUAGCUGGUUUGAGAGGACGACCAGCCACACUGGGACUGAGACAGGCCCAGACUCCUACGGGAGGCAGCAGUGGGGAAUUUUGACAAUGGGGGAAACCCUGAUCCAGCCAUCCCGCGUGUGCGAUGAAGGCCUUCGGGUUGUAAAGACCUCGGCAUGAAAGAAACGGUAUCGGGAUAAUACCCGCAACUGACGGUACCUGCAGAAUAAGCACCGGCUAACUACGCCAGCAGCCACAGGUCACGUAGGUGCAAGCGUUAAUCGGAAUUACUGGGCGUAAGCGCGCAGGCGGUUCGGAAAGAAAGAUGUGAAAUCCCAGAGCUUAACUUUGGAACUGCAUUUUUAACUACCGGGAGUUUAGAGUGUGUCAGAGGGAGGUGGAAUUCCGCGUGUAGCAGUGAAAUGCGUAGAUAUGCGGAGGAACACCGGAUGGCGAAGGCAGCCUCCUGAGCUAACACCGAUCGCUCAUGCACGAAAGGGGGAGCAAACAGGAUUAGAUACCCUGGUAGUCCACGCCCUAAACGAUGUCAACUAGCUGUUGGGGCCUUCGGGCCUUGAAGCGCAGCUACCGCAGGAAGUUGCACCGCCUGGGGAGUACGGUCGCAAGAUUGGAAACUCAAAGUUAGAAUUGACGGGGACUCACAAGCGGUGGAUGAUGGAUUAAUUGAUGCAACGCGAAAAACCUUACCUACCCUUGACAUGUCUGAAUCCCGAAGAGAUUUGGGGAGUGCUCGCAAGAGAACCGAACACAGGUGCUGCACAUGGUUGUCGUCAGCUCGUGUCGUGAGAUGUUGGGUUAAGUCCGCAACGAGCGCAACUCUUGUCAUUAGUUGCUACGAAAGUGCACCUCUAGCUGAGACUGCCGGUGACAAACUGGAGGAAGGUGGGGAUGACGUCAAGUCCUCACGUGGCCCUUAUGGGUAGGGCUUCACACGUCAUACAAUGGUCGGGACAGAGGGUCGCCGUCCCGUGAGGGGAGCCAAUCCCAGAAACCCGAUCGUAGUCCGAUCGCAGUCUGCAACUCGACUGCGUGAAGUCGGAAUCGCCAGUAAUCGCGGAUCAGCAUGUCGCGGUGAAUACGUUCCCGGGUCUUGUACACACCGCCCGUCACACCAUGGGAGUGGGUUUUACCAGAAGUAGUUAGCCUCCAACCGUAAGGAGGGCGAUUACCACGGUAGGAUUCAUGACUGGGGUGAAGUCGUAACAAGUAG
Molecule: ribosomal RNA, 1475 nt
Filed under: uncultured Bordetella sp.
Lineage: Bacteria; Pseudomonadati; Pseudomonadota; Betaproteobacteria; Burkholderiales; Alcaligenaceae
Description: partial 16S-23S ribosomal RNA intergenic spacer
Rfam family: Bacterial small subunit ribosomal RNA
Source: RNAcentral